Molecule: ribosomal RNA, 803 nt
Filed under: uncultured bacterium
Lineage: Bacteria
Description: bacterial SSU rRNA
Rfam family: Bacterial small subunit ribosomal RNA
Source: RNAcentral
AGAGUUUGAUCCUGGCUCAGGAUGAACGCUGGCGGCGUGCCUAACACAUGCAAGUCGAGCGAAGCAAUUAAGAGGAAGUUUUCGGAUGGAAUGUUAAUUGACUGAGCGGCGGACGGGUGAGUAACGCGUGGGUAACCUGCCUCAUACAGGGGGAUAACAGUUAGAAAUGACUGCUAAUACCGCAUAAGCACACAGAACCGCAUGGUUCGGGGUGAAAAGCCGAGACGGUAUGAGAUGGACCCGCGUCUGAUUAGCUAGUUGGAGGGGUAACGGCCCACCAAGGCAACGAUCAGUAGCCGACCUGAGAGGGUGACCGGCCACAUUGGGACUGAGACACGGCCCAAACUCCUACGGGAGGCAGCAGUGGGGGAUAUUGCACAAUGGGGGAAACCCUGAUGCAGCGACGCCGCGUGAGUGAAGAAGUAUUUCGGUAUGUAAAGCUCUAUCAGCAGGGAAGGAAAAAGACGGUACCUGACUAAGAAGCCCCGGCUAACUACGUGCCAGCAGCCGCGGUAAUACGUAGGGGGCAAGCGUUAUCCGGAUUUACUGGGUGUAAAGGGAGCGUAGACGCCAAUACAAGUCGGAAGUGAAAUACCCGGGCUCACCUUGGGAACUCCUUUGGAAACUGUAUGGCUGGAGUGCUGGAGAGGUAAGCGGAAUUCCUAGUGUAGCGGUGAAAUGCGUAGAUAUUAGGAGGAACACCAGUGGCGAAGGCGGCUUACUGGACAGUAACUGACGUUGAGGCUCGAAAGCGUGGGGAGCAAACAGGAUUAGAUACCCUGGUAGUCCACCCUGUAAACGAU